AUACGUAGGUGACAAGCGUUAUCCGGAUUUACUGGGCGUAAAGGGCGUGUAGGCGGUCUUGCAAGUCAGAAGUGAAAUUCCUGAGCUCAACUCGGGCGCUGCUUCUGAAACUGCAGGACUUGAGUGCUGGAGGGGAUAGCGGAAUUCCUAGUGGAGCGGUAAAAUGCGCAGAUAUUAGGAAGAACACCGGUGGCGAAGGCGGCUAUCUGGACAGUAGCUGAUGCUGAGGCGCGAAAGCGUGGGGAGCAAACAGGAUUAGAUACCCUGGCCGUCCACGCGGUAAACGAUGAGUGCUAGGUGUUGCGGGUAUCGACCCCUGCAGUGCCGGAGUAAACACAAUAAGCAUUCCGCCUGGGGAGUACGGCCGCAAGGUUGAAACUCAAAUGAAUUGUCGGG
RNAcentral lists this ribosomal RNA (396 nucleotides) under uncultured bacterium. RNAcentral describes it as "partial 16S ribosomal RNA". It matches the Rfam family "Bacterial small subunit ribosomal RNA", at positions 523 to 917 of the family's 1533-position model. The record is from RNAcentral.